This 48-nucleotide non-coding RNA is filed under the name unclassified sequences. Its description in RNAcentral is "eL15-Euryarchaeota ribosomal protein leader". It matches the Rfam family "eL15-Euryarchaeota ribosomal protein leader". The record is from RNAcentral.
GCGGAUGCUCGGUCCGCUGGAAUGUAACCUUUAAGGUUGAACCACAAA